Malus domestica (apple) is the source of this 1207-nucleotide non-coding RNA. The record is from RefSeq and is a predicted model, not a curated record. Lineage: Eukaryota; Viridiplantae; Streptophyta; Magnoliopsida; Rosales; Rosaceae.
CACUGUCCGUAUAGCAUUCAAAUUUGGUGGAAUUUGCUCAAGGAAGCUGGAGCAAGUUGGGUCACUCCAAAGGGCUGUUUUGAGCUCCUAAGCACUAAGUUCGAAGGCCUAGGGAAAGGGAGGAAAGCCAAAACUUUGUGGGGAUCUCUGUUGUUGGCCCUCUUCUGGAACAUUUGGUUGGAGCGUAAUAAAAGAGUCUUUGAGGAUUACAAGGGAGUGGGGGUUGAGGAGCUUUGGGAUAGAGUAAAACACUGGGCAGCCCUUUGGGCUUCGGUUUCAGUGGAGUUUAGAGAUUACAAUUUCUCUUCUAUUUUUAGGGAUUUGUUAGCUGCCGUUAUUUGAUUUGGUCUAGCUUUUCCUCUGUUCAUUUAGUUUUAGUUAGGGGCCCUUGCUAGUUUUCUUCUAGCUCCAGGUGGAUUUCUUUUCCACGUGGUUUACUGUUUCUCUUUUGUAAUUCUUUCGUUUUAUAAAAUUCUUUCGUUUCUUUUCAAAAAAAAAAAUUCAUUACUGGCUUUAUCAUAUUCAUUACCCUCUUUUUCUUAAAAGGGUUUUGGCUUUGGAAGGAGAUGGAGAUCGGUGACAAUGAUCGGAGUUCGUCGCUGUGUGGAUGAUCCCAGUGUAGCGCUGGUUUUCAACUCUAGUGUUUUGUAGGGUUUUGGGGGCGUGAAUUUUGGGGGAUUUCGUUUUGGAUUUCUAGCCCUGAAUUUUGCAAGGACUGUCUACCCUGUAUGUACACCAAAUGCUCCUGACAUUUCAAAUAAGUUAGGUGUCACUAGAUGGUCCACUAAAGCAGCUAAGGGUAUUGAAAUCAGUUAUGGUUGAUUGGUGGUGUGGAAUUGUAGAGGGAUAUGGUAGACAUGAGUAUAAUUGGAAUGGAUACAAGAGGCUCUUUCAAAUGGUACAGGCCUGUUUUAUAUAAAUACGUUUUUUGACUUGCAGAAGCUUUUUUCUCUCAGUGGGCAUAUAAACACCACCUGUGGUUAAUUGUUUUGCAAUCUUUGUGGUCAUUUUUAUUCUUUCCAUGGUUCCUGUAAUGCUUGGCAAAGUUAUGAAAUUUAGUCUCUGAAUUCACAGUAUAGAGAUUAUAUAAUCAUUUGGGCAUGGUUUCUCUCUAGGAUAAAGCUUGUCUGGCUAUAUAUAUGGAAUUGGGUUUGUGUAAUUAAUGUCAAAUAAUUGAGUCCAACAUAGUUAUAAGCUUUCAUCUUUC